RNAcentral lists this ribosomal RNA (252 nucleotides) under uncultured bacterium. RNAcentral's name for it is "partial 16S ribosomal RNA". It matches the Rfam family "Bacterial small subunit ribosomal RNA", at positions 524 to 775 of the family's 1533-position model. The record is from RNAcentral.
UACAGAGGGGGCAAGCGUUAUUCGGAAUUAUUGGGCGUAAAGGCGCGUAGGCGGCCUGGCAAGUGGAAGGUGAAAUCCCUCGGCUUAACCGAGGAACUGCCCUCCAAACUGCUUGGCUUGAGUCCGGGAGAGGUGAGUGGAAUUCCCAGUGUAGCGGUGAAAUGACGUAGAUAUUGGGAGGAACACCAGUGGCGAAGGCGGCUCACUGGACCGGAACUGACGCUGAGGCGCGAAAGCGUGGGGAGCAACGGG